UAAGCCUGUGAAGGUGUGUCGUGAGGCAUGCUGGAGGUAUCAGAAGUGCGAAUGCUGACAUAAGUAACGAUAAAGCGGGUGAAAAGCCCGCUCGCCGGAAGACCAAGGGUUCCUGUCCAACGUUAAUCGGGGCAGGGUGAGUCGACCCCUAAGGCGAGGCCGAAAGGCGUAGUCGAUGGGAAACGGGUUAAUAUUCCCGUACUUGGUGUUACUGCGAAGGGGGGACGGAGAAGGCUAUGUUGGCCGGGCGACGGUUGUCCCGGUUUAAGCGUGUAGGUGUGUGUUCCAGGUAAAUCCGGUUCACUUUAACACUGAGGCGUGACGACGAGGCACUACGGUGCUGAAGCAACAAAUGCCCUGCUUCCAGGAAAAGCCUCUAAGCAUCAGGUAACAUCAAAUCGUACCCCAAACCGACACAGGUGGUCAGGUAGAGAAUACCAAGGCGCUUGAGAGAACUCGGGUGAAGGAACUAGGCAAAAUGGUGCCGUAACUUCGGGAGAAGGCACGCUGACACGUAGGUGAAGUGAUUUACUCAUGGAGCUGAAGUCAGUCGAAGAUACCAGCUGGCUGCAACUGUUUAUUAAAAACACAGCACUGUGCAAACACGAAAGUGGACGUAUACGGUGUGACGCCUGCCCGGUGCCGGAAGGUUAAUUGAUGGGGUCAGCGCAAGCGAAGCUCCUGAUCGAAGCCCCGGUAAACGGCGGCCGUAACUAUAACGGUCCUAAGGUAGCGAAAUUCCUUGUCGGGUAAGUUCCGACCUGCACGAAUGGCGUAAUGAUGGCCAGGCUGUCUCCACCCGAGACUCAGUGAAAUUGAACUCGCUGUGAAGAUGCAGUGUACCCGCGGCAAGACGGAAAGACCCCGUGAACCUUUACUAUAGCUUGACACUGAACAUUGAGCCUUGAUGUGUAGGAUAGGUGGGAGGCUUUGAAGUGUGGACGCCAGUCUGCAUGGAGCCGACCUUGAAAUACCACCCUUUAAUGUUUGAUGUUCUAACGUGGACCCGUGAUCCGGGUUGCGGACAGUGUCUGGUGGGUAGUUUGACUGGGGCGGUCUCCUCCUAAAGAGUAACGGAGGAGCACGAAGGUUGGCUAAUCCUGGUCGGACAUCAGGAGGUUAGUGCAAUGGCAUAAGCCAGCUUGACUGCGAGCGUGACGGCGCGAGCAGGUGCGAAAGCAGGUCAUAGUGAUCCGGUGGUUCUGAAUGGAAGGGCCAUCGCUCAACGGAUAAAAGGUACUCCGGGGAUAACAGGCUGAUACCGCCCAAGAGUUC
RNAcentral lists this ribosomal RNA (1275 nucleotides) under Salmonella enterica. Its description in RNAcentral is "partial 23S ribosomal RNA". It matches the Rfam family "Bacterial large subunit ribosomal RNA", at positions 1243 to 2501 of the family's 2925-position model. The record is from RNAcentral. Lineage: Bacteria; Pseudomonadati; Pseudomonadota; Gammaproteobacteria; Enterobacterales; Enterobacteriaceae.